RNAcentral lists this ribosomal RNA (301 nucleotides) under uncultured bacterium. RNAcentral's name for it is "partial 16S ribosomal RNA". It matches the Rfam family "Bacterial small subunit ribosomal RNA", at positions 509 to 807 of the family's 1533-position model. The record is from RNAcentral.
CAGUCGCCGCGGUAAUACGAAGGGUGCAAGCGUUAAUCGGAAUUACUGGGCGUAAAGCGUGCGCAGGCGGCUUGUUAAGACAGAUGUGAAAUCCCCGGGCUCAACCUGGGAACUGCAUUUGUGACUGGCAAGCUAGAGUCUUGUAGAGGGGGGUAGAAUUCCAGGUGUAGCGGUGAAAUGCGUAGAGAUCUGGAGGAAUACCGGUGGCGAAGGCGGCCCCCUGGACAAAGACUGACGCUCAGGUGCGAAAGCGUGGGGAGCAAACAGGAUUAGAUACCCGCGUAGUCCCUGUCUCUUAUAC